AUACAGAAGGCCUUGCUAGGGCUGUCGCUGACCUUUUCCAGGUCGUGCACGCCCUCAGCAAUCCUCAUCCCAAUCCAUCUCACCUUUGUGCAUCACCGCGUGCGCUCCUUUUGAAAAACAAAAGGAGCUUGCGCUUUUACCACACAAACCCAUAGUACAGAAUGUCUUAUAUUUUUGUGAUCAUACAAUACAACUUUCAACAACGGAUCUCUUGGCUCUCGCAUCGAUGAAGAACGCAGCGAAAUGCGAUACGUAGUGUGAAUUGCAGAAUUCAGUGAAUCAUCGAAUCUUUGAACGCACCUUGCGCCCCUUGGCAUUCUGAGGGGCACACCCGUUUGAGUGUCAUGAAAUUCUCAACCUUUUUCCCUUUUAUUCUUCGAAUCGAGGGGGGGAAAGGCUUGGACUUUGGAGGCUUCUGCUGGCCCUCUCCCUCUUUUGAGGCCAGCUCCUCUUAAAUGAAUUAGUGGGGUUCCCUUUGCUGAUCCUCGACGUAUGAUAAAGCCAUUUCUACGUCUCUAGAGAGGCAAAGAGACCUGCUUCUAAUCGUCUCUUAGAGACAAUCUACGAACCCUUUUGACCUCAAAUCGGGUGAGACUACCCGCUGAACUUAAGCAUAU
RNAcentral lists this ribosomal RNA (617 nucleotides) under Lactifluus leoninus. RNAcentral describes it as "eukaryotic LSU rRNA". The stretch from base 192 to 345 matches the Rfam family "5.8S ribosomal RNA". Lineage: Eukaryota; Fungi; Basidiomycota; Agaricomycetes; Russulales; Russulaceae. The record is from RNAcentral.